UUUGGUUCAUAACCCCUGAUUAUCCUCUAAGGCUUUUUCUAGUACAUGCUUUCAUUGCCAUGACGUUAGUCAUUUACUGGUGAUAUCCUGAGGCUGUGGAUGCCAGCAGUAAUUUUAUCAAGUCAACGUUAGCUUUUUGAAAGUACUUCCAAACACAGACUGUGUCAAAAUCAACAAAAGAUAUGAAAAUGAAAGCCCAGGUUAUUGUUGUCACACAUUGUGAUAUGUUUGUUCAUAUAAAUGGUAAAGAUUUUUAAGUGACCAAGUUUUUUUUUAAAUUUGUAUAACCAGCAUACACUAUUAUAUGUAUUUCCCAACACAUGAUACUCAGGCAAUUUUUGUUGUAAUAAAGGAAAAAAGACUUGGUCUGUGACAAAGAAGAAGACAAAAUUAUCAUUCAGAAAAAAAGUAUAUUUUGAUUAGAGCUUUUAGUUUAGCAUAAUAUUGAAUUCACUGGCUAUUUGAUGCAGUCCCAGAUGGAGAGAAGAGACCGUAUGAAAGGGCUUGAACAAUGCCAGAUAAUUACCAUGUUUCUUUUGUUGCUCUGUUCUCUGCUACUGAAGAAGAAGACUAAUUGUUUUGGGCAAACAUCAACACAUUCCUUGUCCUUGUGAGGCAUCUGUCAUGUGAGCCGGUGAGCCUAAUAAAAUGAAAUAUGGACAAUCAGGAGCUACUCAGACAAUUAACCAGACAUGGACUGCACACUCAAACUAGUUGUAGUAACACAGUGCUUUACGCUUCCCCACAUAUUCUCUCAUAUGCAUGUAGUAACAUUGUAACAGAAUGUAAAUUUUCAAACAAGGUAAAGGUCUUUGUCAUGUUGCACAUAUAUUAAUGUUCCAUGCCAUAUGAAUCUGAUUAAUCAGGUCUAAAUAUUUGUUCGUCCAAUAUUUGGAUUCAUGACCCAACACCCAAAACAGCUUCAGCAAAUGAAUCAAGAUAAACAUUACCUGCUUAACCAUCAUCAUCUCAGCGUUGUAUCGAGGCUCUGGCGUUGCUAUAGACAGUAAAACAGGUACCCACGAAAGCAGCUGAAUAUGACAUUUACAGAUAUAAUCACUUACUCCAAAACAGUUUGGGGUACUUCAUUGUUUUAAAAUGUAAAAGUCACACCUCUGCUCCUCCAUCACCGUCUGGUACGCUGCAGCCACAGCCAAGGACAAAGGCACGCUGCGGUGUGUCAUCCGCUCUGCAGAGAGGGUAAUCAGCUGCUCUUAUUUUAAUUUAAUUUGUUAUAGUCUAUUAGAUUAGAAAUUAAAUGAACUAUUCUCUGAACUGUGUUUAUUUGUCUUACUGUCCAAUGCUAUACAUCACCCGCCAUGUCAAAUUUCUUGUAUGUUCAAUAUAGUUUGACAAUAAAUGUUUCAAACGUAGUAUUUUAACUCAAUUCAUCCAGGAAAAGUUUAGAUAGUGUAGCAAAAUGUUCCCAGUCGAUGUUUUAUUAUACAUUGCAUUUUUGGAAGGCAAUUUGCCGCUGUUUAUUCAGUUUUGCGUGUGUACAGAAUUGUACUGCUGCGGAUGUUUCUAACUCCUCUAUAUAGAUAGAUCCCCAUUUACAAUUUUUAUGUGAAAUCCAUGAUCCAAGAAGAACAGCCCAGUGACAAAGCACUGUCCUGCUGAAGCCCCCCCCCCUUGCAGUAAUCACAUUAAGUGAAGCCAGCAACAUGUGUAGGAAUUAACGGGACCUAGCCGGAUAAUCCAGCCAUAGAAACAUGAUCCCACCAACCACAGCGCUCUGCAAGAAGGUGAAACAGUGGGCCUCUCUGAGUCACAAGUCUGAUUGACUGUUCCCCAGCAGUAAGUUUGCUCCCACUCAGUGAUGUGAGAGAACCGGGACACCAGUUCCAAGAUGAAUCUUUUAUUCAGUACUUAAACAUCAUGUUCCGCACUUUGCUUUACCAGUUUGUCAGACCAAGCAUCGCUGUGCUCAAAUGAUGCAUCAUUCCCACACAAAGCUCUUUUAGCAGUCCCCAAAAGUCAGCAGUUCAGACAUUUAGAAACAAAUUGUCUGGUUUGAUCGAAUCUACAAUUAUCAAACAUGAACAGACACAUCACUAAUAAAAACGUCUAACAAAAAAAAAAACAAUAUCAAGGGAAACCUUCUGAUGUCAUCUUUCAUCACUUGAUCACGGUCGCUUCUCACACUUCGAAAUGUAGGAAAUUGGACUAGUUGUUCCAUGGCAAACAAGACUGAUAAACAAAAUGUAUUAGUUCAAUGUUAUAUACUGAGAAGAUUCAGUAUUAAAUCAUGCUUUUAGACAAGUAUUAUGUCUUGUUGUCUCAUUGUCUUACCGUCCGAUGUUAUGCACAGACCCCCAUGUCAAAUUCUUUGUAUGUCUAACAUAUUUUGGCUAUGAAUGUUCCUGAUUCCUGAAGUAAAAUAAAGCAGAGGUUACCAAAUCAGUCCCCCAACCGAAGCUGCUCUCAGGUGCGUGAAUAACCAGGACAAAAGCUCAGGUGAGCUUCCUCCUGCUUUUAAAGGCUCUGCCUCUUUACCUGGGUCCUAACAGCGGGCUGCCCUUUUACCUGCCUUGCUACAUAUAUCAUCCACUAUAAAGAAACAUGGAAUAUCUUGCAAAAAACCAAACAUGUUUGCCUGCAAGCUUCUAAAAGAAGAGUUUUAUUUGUUAAUAUUAUCUUGCUUGUAAGUAUCAUAAAUGGACCGAGAUUAUUAUCUGCAAAAAUCCAGAAACCAAAAGAAAAACCCACUGGAUUUAUUCAAGGAAAGCAGUGUGACGAUAACGUGUCAUCCGUACAACUCUCUGGAACCACUGCUGUGAAAAAUACCUUUGACCGCAUCACAAUAACAACCCCCCCCGCAUGAUUCACCAGGCUUUUACUCUGAGACGGCAGCAGUAAGGUAUGUUGGGCUAGCAAAAGCGGUAAAUUAUGAAUAGAGCUCUGCAAAAGGCAAAUGCUUUUUCUAACUGAUGGUGGCUGAGUAUUACUGGGCGAGUGUAGAGAACGUGCCACUGCUCCGCUCUGCAUCACCAGACAUCAUCUGGCUCAAUGACCUGUGAGACGGAGGAACCUCUUCUGCUGCUUUUUAUGCCAGUUUAUGAACCAGUGCCCGCUCUCCUCUCACCCACUCACGAGUUCAUGCAUCCACCCGCUAAAAAUUACCUCCUGAAGACCCCUCCUUUCUUCGGGCUCAAGUGUUGAAGCCGCCAGAACCUGCAACAACAUAACUCCCCCACACCCUUUCCUACAUUCAUACAUCCCUGCAUCUCUCUCCAGUUGAAGAUAUUGAGUGUGUCGUAAAGGCGCAGCACGGAAAAAAUGGAUCGGAGGAUGGAUUGUGGAAUGCUGUGCAGCGGUUAGUGAGAUAAGUAGCAUUUGUGUUUCCUCCUGUGUAUAAUUAUGCUAUUUAUACCCCGGCAAAGGAGGAGACGCUCUGAGCUGGUACACCCAGAUUGGUAUUCUCACUAACGUUGUUUAUCCUCAUGAAAAUGAUAAUAAAACACACCUCUUGCUUUAGGGCUGGUAGAUGUGUUGAAAAUCUAAUAUUCACUCUGCUUCCAUGCCUGUUUAGGCCUCAUCCAUCUCCAAAGAAAUGUCUGGCUAUUGCGCCACUGCGGACAGCAGCUAUUCAGUGUUAGUGAGGCAGCUCACAGCUGGCUUAUUUUUUGCAGUAAGAGAAGUGACACUGAACCAAAGCAGUAACGUCGUGGUCCAUAAAGAGCGGAAAGAUACAAACUGAGGGGAACGGCAGAGUUGGGUUCGAACAUUCCACACUACACGCAGUAAUGGGAUUGAUUACGAAACAUACAUAACCGCAGAUUGUAUGUCAUGGAUCACAAAUUAGAACGUAAUUCACUUCAGUCUAUUUCCCCUUAUUGCACCCAACAGUGAUGAUCAGUGGUAGGAACAAGUUGCAGACAAAUAGCUGCAGGAACUUGGUGAGAUAAAACUGUCUGUGGCACGUUCAGAAUAAAUAUCACGCCUCAUAUAAAUUACUGACAACUGUGCUUACUCCCCCGGACUACUGCGUCAGCGUCCCUCCAUUCAUCACAAGGACAAAUUGGAAAUAUCAUACUUUUCCCCCACGCACGCUAAUAAGCAGGUGACGUGAGUUCUCUGACACUAAAUAAUAAUAGUAUUUAAAUGGAGGAAAUGCAGGAAAAAAUGACUCGCAUAUGAGCAAAUUGUUUUCCUGUGUACAAUUAUGUCAAAUUGCAGGAUCAGUAAACUUGUAGCUGGACACAGCUGGACUUUGAUCAGAAUGUUGCGUUCACACUUUUAUACAUGCCAAAGGCAUACAUGGGGGACAAUUGUAUCAGAACUUGUUCUCAGCACACCUGUUCAGAACAAUCGUAGUUUAGCAUGUUAGCAUAUCAUCAUCACAACAAAAUGCGUUGGGAAAACUGGACAGAAUAGAGGUUCUGCUGACAAUCUUUUAUUUCCCACAAAAAUAGACAGGGAAAUCCUUGGAAACGAAGAGGGACGAACGGGGAAAUGCUCUGGCUAACCUAAUAGAGCUGAGCAAUACUGAAUGCCGGGAAGCAAACAAAAUCCUCUCUUAGCGAGGAAAGGAGACAAUAACAAAGUAGAACUAAAAAUGCUCUGAUUCAACUCCAAGAGCUGCAAAGUCAACACGGCAAAAGCCAAACCAAAAAUCUUUUAUCGAGGAAGGUAUCAAACUACAAGGAAAUCAAAAAAAGAUAAAAAGCUGAAUAGUCCAAAAUGCAAAACCAAAAUCUCUCUUAAAGAGGAAAUUAGAAAAUAAUCAAUCACUAACAAAAGGGCCCUGAAAUAAUUCGAAGAGCUGUGGAGCAAUAAACGGCAUAAGGAAUCUAUAACGAGGUUUGGGGCAUUCAGAACUAUGACGUGGACUUGAUGCUAACAUGAGGCAGGUGUGCAAGACAAAAGGACAUGACACACUGGCACAGGACAAGGGGAGACGCAGACCAUAAGUACACAAGAGAGUGGACACAGGUGGACACAAUCAGGAAUCUGCUAAGACAAUGAGACUGGUGACACAUGAGGAAGGGCAAGGAACCUGAAACGAGAGGGGAGUCAAUUUCCAAAAUAAAACAGAAAGUCACAAAACAAACGUGGAGACAGGACAAAAACCCAACUUGACAAACAGGUGUGACACUUAAGAAUUAGCCUUGAUGCAUGACUUACAUGUGUGUCAAUUCUGUCUCCUACUUGCAAGUGUUAUUUAAUAAAUGUCCUGUUUAAUGAUUUGAGUAAGUAAGAAUCUUUCUAACAGAAUUUGAAUAGUGCUGGAGGUAUUUGGUCAUAAACUAAGGUAUUUGAAGAAAUUACAUUUUGACUCGAUGAUAGCAUGGAUUCAAAUUUAAUACAAGUAAUCCUGAGGUUAACAUGAAUACCCAUAAAAAAAGAGUUUCUCAGCAGUUGCAUACUUGGCACUAUCUCAAAGCUGGAGGACUGAGGUAUGCAGCAACAUUACAGACUCUUUAGAAGACAUUCCAUCAGAAUAGGUACAGUGGUUGUGAUUCUGAUGGAAAGUCUACUUUCCAGCAGAAAGAUGGUGUCAUCGAAGGGAGGAAUGGAUUGGGUACCAUCUCACUGUGAUACAUGCAACCUGGCUGAGUUUCGUGGAAACCCCAGCGUCUCGCUCUGCGCCCGCUGGGGAAGAACACACAGAAAGGGUUCUUAAGUCCUGGUGCUUAGUCUCAUUCCUCUGCCCUUUACCACUUUUGAUAUGUAAUGUUAAUGGAUCAGUUCAACUUGAACACCUUUUUAAAAAAGACAACAUUUCAAGGUUCAAGCGAAAUGAAAGCAAAUUGGUUGUAAAAUGAAACAAACAUUGUAGCAAACACAAUUUAGAGCAAUGAAUGGUGCCUACCCUACAGGUUUAUUUUUGAUUUUUUUUGUUUGUGAUCAACCAGUGCUGCUGCAGAAAACCAAGGCAACUGCAGUUUGCGAGACAGUAGCAAAAACACAAAUUGGAUUUUCUAUUUGCAAUCAGACAGUUAAGCUGCUGAUUAACACCUUUCAUUUCCCUCCUUCACCAAGCUGCAGCUGUUCUCUCUCCCUUCAUUCUUCCAUAAAUAUAUUUAUUUAUCUCUGUCCAUUCUAAAGGAUGACUUUAUCAUUGUCAUACCAGAAGCCUCCAUUCAUAUUAAUAAAAUCUAAUCCAAAUAAUUGCAGCUUACUAUUUUCAAUUGUGAAUAAGCCUCGUUCAGAUUUCCAGAAAGUGUUGAUACUCCGAGCCAAAUGCAAUCGUUACAGUAUCACCACUGGCUGAUUUGUGUGACAAUGGACCAUUUUGUUACAUCUGUUGCCUGUGAUUAAUGAAAGUAACACAAAUCCAUUUAGCAGUUUUCACAGACAAUAUAAAAACACAAGAGGUGGUGUAUCGAGUUCUGGCCAAUAGAUUAUGUAAUUGGAAGAGCAAUAAUUCUUGUUUGGCAAGUGUACAACUGAUUGAAUCAGUUUUCUAUUUGUUUGGUUUCUUUUUAUGUGUCUCCCACAGCUCCAACGCAAUGCAGCUUGUUAUUGUUUCACAAUAAAACAAAUCAAUGGUGUUAAGAUCUCUGUUUUGGUUUUAAUGUGUCUUCAAAUCCAAAAGCUUCCCCUUGGUGAAGCAGUGAAAACAAUGUCCUCAUUUUCUCAUAGUUACUGUAUUUCUUUUUCUUUCUUUUUUGUUUGCUAUAAACAACAAAUUCUGGAACGAGAGCCCUCUUUGUCUUUGUCUAAAAUCUGAAAAAAUUACGUGUGAUUCGCAAACAAUGGCCACUGGACAAAUCUCGGUGAAAGAAAAGCGGAUUAAAUUAAAAAAGUCAAAGGUAAAGGGCAUCUAUGAUCCAAUGUUUGGUGGUUAUUUGAGUCAGGCUUCGACAAGGUGUGUCGAAGAAAAAAGGUUACUAUAUCAAUGCAUUCAGCGUUGUCUGGGCUACCGAUUCACGACUCGUUUUUGUUGUUAUCUUCUAGCUCCGAUGGAAUAAAAUGUACAUAAACACCGAAAACUGUUUUCUGCACUAAUUUGCAUAAACAUUUGCUAACUUGUUGGAGGUGUGUUUAGAGCAUUUUCUAACAGAUAGGUGGAGAUUGUAUCCAUGACUCUAAUUCAAAUGCUGUGACGCAUUAGUAUAUGUGUUCGUGAUGAGUAAGCCUGCACAAUAAUCCUGUUGGAAGUUGGAUGCUCAGUUGUGGAAGUCAGAGUCCUUUAGGGCAAACCUCAGGCAAAACAAACAAGGUGCUUUUGUAAACGGUAACAUUUGCGGUGUGUUUUUUGCAGUGCUGUUGAAGGAAUAAGAUCAGGAAUAAACAAGUGAGGACUUCAAUGUUGUUACACAACGUUUGGCCGAUGUGCCGCUAGCGUUCCAGAAAUCAGUUACUGAUACAUUUUAAAUGAUUGUUUUAUUGUUUUCUUAUGACAGACUUCUUCCAGCCUUUGUGUUAAUAGCUAAUUAUCUUUGCGGCCUUUAGCAUGUAGAUAUGCGUUUGUCAUUGAUCUGCUUAUGUAGCUGUACAAAACAAAUGUAUUAUCUGUCUCAUUAGUCUGUCUUGACUAACGCCUCAUAAAGUCAAUUUGAGCUAUUUCUGUCAAAUAUGAACAUAAUGUAACACCAUCUAUGUGGGCUGAGUUUUGUAUACUGUAGGCUUCUCGGGGUCUGCAGGUUUUCUCAUGGUGACAGAAAUGAGGCAAUAACAAUGUAGAGGGCAAAUACAGCAAUCAGGCUGUUAUAUAUUGAACACACACACACACACACACAUUCUGACAAACUCAAAACCCUUUUGACUGCCUUCCUCACAAUCUAAGCCCUUCACGCACAACCCCAAUUCAUACAUUCAGUGACUCACACACACAGUCGCCAAUCCACACACACUCGGGUUCGUCCAGUGUGAUACGGAUCUGGUGAAGGUCGUGAGAGGGAUCUCAUUCUCAGCAGAGAUGAGCCUGCUGAUAGCGUCAGUCCUUCGGGCAGAUUAAACCCCCUCCCAGUCGUCUCCGUGGUGUCAUAGCUGCAGCACUGAUGCUGCCGCUGAAGCACAUUUAACACAGCGUUGUGUGUGUGUGUGUGUUUGCCUGUGGUUUUGUGAUUCAUUUAACAAAUUACUCAGAUGUGAACCUGGUCCAAAUAUUCUCUACUGGGUUUGUGCUGCCAAGCACAGACAACAGUUUUGUGAGAAGCUCAAUGAAAUAAUUCUGUGACUGUGUUUGCUCACGGCACAAUAAAGCUGGCUGCUGAGGGAGGGGUGAGUUUGUCUCUUACAGUUCACCCCACUCCCAGAGUUCCCCUGACAGCGCAGAAAUCAAGAAAAAUAAUCUGGAAGUUGGAAAAAUGGUUACACCAACAGCCUGAAGGUGAAAAGACACAUGAAAAUGGAAGAUUCUUUGUCUUGUUUGCCGUUCUGAAAGUUAUUGCAUUGUGAAACUUGGUGUUGAAAGGGAGGCCAUUUUUCUUUGUUGUCAUUUCAGAGAUUCAAAUUUGACAGGUUGAUCUAUUUUAAUCACAAAGAUCUUAGGACCCUCAGUGCAUUUCACUACUUUGAAAGUGACAAUAUUCUCUGCAUUCCGCUGGUUGUUGUAUUUUUUGUUGCACCAGAAAAUGUGUUUUGUGCAAGAGUGACUCAAAGCCAAGUUUAAAAAUAAAAUCGUGGUUAGAAGGUGUUCAUUAGAGCUGUUACCAAUGAAAGAUCCCCAACAACCUUUGUCAAUAAUUAGAAUGCUUUCAUUAUGGUGUCAUGCUGACAUGAAUAUUUACAACCAUCCUCCGAUAUUAAGAAAUCGUAAUAUGAGGGAUUUAGUUUAUGAUCCUUUAAAGAAACAUAUUAUGCCCUUUUACCACACGUUAAUAUGCUUCUUUGUGGUCUGACUGAAGGUCUGAAACAUACUUGCAAGGAUAAUUAUUAAGUGCAGAGCUUUUUCAGCCUGCUUGAAACAGCUCUGCUCAUAAUGACCCAUUUGAGGUUUUAAUGCUAAUGAGCCAGCUAACCCCCUACCCCUCCACCCUCCACACUUGCAUGGCAGGCCUCCCCUGUGUCAUUAUGAAUUAUGAAAAAACAAAUAAAUUAAUGUUUGUCCACUAAUACAGGAUAGAAAUGUAAUUAUUGUUUGAUUCCAUUGAUUUAUAGGAGUCAAUAUCGCUUAUAUAAAUGAAUUGGGGAUUGUGUGUAUUUUCCUGUUAGGUACGGGGUAAAGACGUGAAGGGAAUAAGUCUCUGCGCAUCCCCUCACCGCACAUUACUGUCUGUUAGAGACACUCUACAACCACAUUGCUUUGAACCAGAGUCAGACCCUGAACAUAAAGAGGCUCCCCAACAAGUUCCACAAUUUAGGGUUCAACAGGACAUUUCUGAAUGAUUUGCACGAACCCACAGCUUUUUCCCCAAUUCUACCCGGGUUGAAACUUCUUGUGCCUUCUAAUAAAUGUGGAGAAUUGUGUGGACCUGUGUUGGGGAGAGGCACAAGGCGAUGCAAGGGAGACUCCCACUAGGUCUGAUGAUGUUGGCAAACCCCAGAACUUCCAAACGAUUUAUUUUAUUUAGUUGGUAGGGGGGUGAUAGUGGUGGUAAGAGGGUGUUGGGAUAAGUGUUAAGAGGGAUGGCCAUAUGUAAUUUGGCAAAAAUCUUUUUUCCAUUUUCUGCGGCCUGGUUACAAGUGGUCCGGUGAUUGGGGACCUCUGAUUUAAAGCUGUCACGAUCUGACUUGCCUUGGAGGUGAGUUUCAGGCUGGGCGAGCAGGUUUCCCCGGUUACCUGGGCGGAGUCUGGUGGCUGACUGCUGUCACACCUGUCCUGCAUAUCCAAUCGCCAGGAACCCUUCUUAAGGAGCAGCGGGAGCACCAGUCAUCGCCAGAUCGUUUUGCCCUCCUAGUGGUAACUUGGCCAGCUCUCACCAGAGAUAGAUUUUUUCAAGAAAGAGUUAUUUGUGCAUUGACCUUGUCCCAGCCUGCUUCCACAUGAGCCUGACGGAUUCCCUGGCUUCCCCUCUCGCCCUCCGCGGCUCGGGAGAACCCCCUCCAGCCAGCCGGAUCACUACAUCUCCCUCCAGCGUGGCUUCCAUCAAUUGCAUCGCUCCUGCCGCCCGGACCCUUGUGCCUGCCUGCUUCUCCAGCGUCUCCCCCGGCCACGGAUUCAGCGCUGCCUAUUUAUAUCCAUUUGCUGCCGAAAAUUAAAAUCUUUUUUAUCCUCGGAAUCCUGCGUUUAGGUCCUACUUUUGUUUUGGCUGUCACCCCGUGACAAAAGCAAAGAAAUUGAGGCAAGAUACAUGAAGACAAACCUUAUCUAUCCGUGUCCUAAUGUCAAACAGAAUCUGUCUUUAGUACGUCACAUAUAAAUGGAAGUGGACAACAUACCGUUUAUAUUUCAGAAAUUCCACGUUAUUUUAGUUGUGUGACAAAUAAAUAAUUCACUUCUGGGUUACAAACAAUGUUUCAUUGGUGAAUGCUUGGGGCUUUUGGACCCAGCAUAACCUCUUCUCUAUUUCAAGUUUAUUGCUUUUUUACUUCCUGGCUCACAAGGACAUUGAUUGGAUAUGAAUCGAUUUUGUGGUAUUUAUAUUUGAAAUGCAAGGCACUUCUUUCUAUACGUAUACAGUAGCUAGGAAAUUUGUAUGAGAUCAAGCUUCACUAUGGCAAACACAAUGACACUGAUGAGCUACUACCAAUAGUGUAUAUUACAUGGGGUAAAAAAAUAUGGAGGAAUUGAAUCCCAUGACACAUUGUGCGUCAUUUACAAAUACCUUGCAAUUUACACAAACUAUGAAGGUCCAGACAACUUUCUGAAUGUAUCAAUCAGCCUUUCAAAAACGCAUCUCUUAUUACAACUCUAUCCAUUAAAAUGGUUUCUGUGGAAAACAAUAGUCAGAGCCGUUUCAUUACCAAAUAUAUUAAAUAACUAAUUAAUUGACGCCCCCUACAAAAUGAAAAGGGGUCCUAUUGAGGUUUUCAAAUAUCGCUUUAAUGACUAUUGUCAUAUUCCAUGCUAGCAUGUUGCUUUAAGAUUGCUGCUUGACCACUCUGUAAAUACAAAAAUAACUUUAAUUCUAGUUGUUUGUGAAAGCCUAUUAACGCCGUGGAUUGAAUAGGAAUUUUUUGUUCCUGAAAACAUUUAGAAGUAAUUGAAGAAAUCCGCAGCCACCAUUGGAAUGUUAUCCUACAAAUGGUAUUACAGCGUACUAUUAAUACCGAAGGAGCAAAAUCACUUGCAACUAAAAAACAACAAAAUAAAUAGACACUCAGUGAACAGAAGCUACAACACUGCACUUCAAAUAUUUCCGAUUAAAAAUAAUUUGUUUCAACAACCAUCUUGCAGUUUGAAGGCCCCAAGCAAUUUGGGGUACGACAACAAAGUGGCCAGUGUGCUCCUGUAAUGAAUUAGACUGAAAUUUAGCAUGCACACUUUGUUACCAGUUCUAUGCUUAUUUUAGUGAAUAAAACCAUGUAUUGUUCAUUUAGCCACUGGAUCCUCACACAAUUCAGAUGUGAUGAAAACAUAAUGAAGUGUAUAUCAAAAACAAUAAAAAUUUGUAAUUGUAAUUAAUCUCAGAUAUUUGUGUGAAUAAAAGUGAUUAAUUGCAUUGUAAUAUGCAUUGAAUUGCAAUGACAAAGGUAAGGUACGUUUUAAUUAUAUAGAUUUAAAAAAGGAAAUAUAAUCAAAUCCGAUACAAAUCAAAAGCUAUUUACCACUGCCAAUGCGUCAAUGCUUUAUCUAGAAUGUUAGAGAAAAACAAGGUACCCUCCACCAUCGUUCAAACAGGCAAGUCAUUAUUUAAAAAUCAUUUUUUUAUGAAUAGAUACCAGCAAAUACAUGUUUAUUUUAUCAGGGAGCAGCAUGAACAUUAUAAUAAUAACAAUAAUGCAUUUUAUUUGUAACGUUGUAUAUACAAUGUUGCGCUCGUUGGCAUUGAAAUUGGCGCGGAAAACGUCCUGUGUUAUUGGAGAUUUGCGUCACUCCAGUGUCAUUGCCUCUGUUCAUAGACUUUGUAUGUAAUCCCGCGACACAAAAAUUUGCUUCAGAAAAGAUGUAAACAUUGGUGUCUUUUGUGAUAUUCAAAACGUACCAGUGUUGAAUACAUAUCCAUUUAUUGACAUCUUAAUUCAAGUUUGAUAACUGCAGGAUUACCUCAUCAAAUGACCUUCUCUUCCUUUAUGCCAUGAAGAUGUUUGACAUUAGAAUCAAACCAACCAAAGACUGUCAUUGAAAAAGGCCAUUUGGUUGAAAAUUUGAUAUAUUCCCUGAUCUCUGGAUCUUAUUUCUAUUCAUCAGAACCCUUUUAUUUUAAAUAGGCGUCUGGCCUUCACUGAGAAAAAAAAUCCAAUUCUGUCACACUACAGUCUACAUGAGCCCUGUCUGAAGAUUACUACUGAUGCUAAGAAGCGCAUCUUGGAUAGUAAGUUUCCAAGUUAUGCUAAAGGUUACUUACAUGAUCUGCGUUGAUCAUAAUCAUUAGUUCUCGUGAACGUCCAAUGAUAAGACAAUAUUUAAAAAUUGCCGUCGCAAUGAAUGUGGCACGAGUUAUCUCCUUUCCUUUCGUAUAGGAUGGUACAAUGGUUUCUAUGCUAAAGAGGCGAAGUACGGAAGCAUUGAAGCUCCUUUCCUUAGCAUUAGAGGCUUUGAAUAGUUAUUCAAUACUUAUUAUGGCGGCUACUUCUGGGUCAUUUUACUUGGUUAGGAACUUUUCUAAGAAAAUUUCACAAUUUUAAUCCAGCCGCAUUCUCCGGUCUACCAUUCUUCUUGUAAGGCAUUGACGCAUAUACAAAGCACAGACCCCCUCACUGGUGAGAUGGCGACACCCGCUGGUUGUCUUUGACACUCAAUUCUAUAUUACAGAACAGCCAAACAAAAACAACGGUUAUACCACAACUUAAAUAUACAUCUAUCUCACAUCUGCUUUCCAUUGCUCUUUCUAAAUAGUGUCCAUAAUACCUAUUUUUAUACAUGUUGCACAUCAUUUCCAUCAAUUUUUUUUAUUCAGCAUUCAACCAUUCUUGAAUCAGGACUAAUUGGUUUUGAGCGAUGAGCAAACCCACUGCCAAACAAUACCCAUGAAGCCUUAUUAACAGGUGAUCACCUCAUGUGCCAGCGUUUUCAUUUUUGUGUUCUGUAGACAAGGAGAAUCUGACAAGGAAAUCUUUCCUCUGCUUUUGCAAGAAAAGAUCCAAGAAAUAUUGUGACCAAAAAAAGGGUUUCACAGAACAUUUUCUCAGGGGCCCUGAAGGUUACAUCUGAUACUCACUGUUGGAAAAGUAUAGAUCCUGUAUCUUAGAGUAAAGAAUCCAAAAGAUAGUAAUAAGUAGUGAAAUGUCUUUUAUAAAAAUGAACUGAUGAGUAAGUAACAAACUUCUCAAAUAAUAUCACUAAGACGUAACAGGUUGACAACCUGCAGAUUUGAAUGAAAAAAAUGAGAAAGUAAAACGGCAGAAGUGACAAGAGCAGGAAUUGUCAUGUAAUUAUGUUGACAGUAGAAAAAAAAAGGCCCCGGAUAAAAUCUUCCAUCCAUAAAGUUUACUCAUAUUCUUACUCACAUUAAUCAUCUUGUCAGGGUUUAGAUCAAGUACAUUUAUCAUUUAUAAAUGAGUCAGUGAUGGUUCUGUGGUUUUAGGAUUAAUUACUAAUUGGAUCCUGGAGAACAGGCAGGCUGGAAGCUCAGCAUCACAGAGCAAACUGUCAAAGAAGAAGUAUGACUGGAAGAGGUGAGUCUGCGAUGUCGUCUCAACUCUUCGUCCAAUGUUCACAAUCUCAACAUCUUCUGGCUCACAAUCACAAUGUUGUUGGCACUAGCAGAUUAAUAGUUGGAUACUUUUACAGUAAUAUAUUAGUAGCAUAGUAGUCACAUCUGUUUAUUGUCGUCUUUAGCCGUAAGUAAUACCAGGGAAAAUCCUCAUGGGUUCACACUUUUCUGAAUGUUAAAUUUGACAGUGAUUAAUACUAGUGCAUAUUCACUGUACUGUUGGUCCUGGCCAGACACGUCAGUUAGAUCCUAUGUAAAACGAUCAAACUUAAAAGGCCAAGGCUCUACAAGGUCAAUUCCCCACCUUUGUCUUGGGAUUUGUUGUUCAAUUUAUUACUAACUUACCUGUCGAUUUACAAGUUACGAACAGCCACUAUUUAAUUAUCUUAUCACGUUAUUAGCUUUGGCAAGGCAUUGCCAUUCUGUGAAAAAUGUAAUUGAGUAUAUUUGCACUUCAAUUUACAUUUGUCUUAAAUUCUGCCAUUGUCAGGGUUUUCAACAAGAUCCACUUAAACACAAACAGGAGCACUUCCAGUACUGUGGUGCUGUACUAUUUGCAGCCAGAAGCGGUUAAAAAAACACAGCGGAUAACCGCAGAUAACCCUGGUGACAUUGUAUGGGUUAUCAGUACUCACGAAGGUCCUCAAGAGCCAAAGAAGACAUUUUACAAAUGUUUUCUGAGGCCGAGUGGUACUCCUUAACAGUACUUCAUGUGAAAGGGCUACUACUGUGGCAACUACACAUGACAUUAUCUCACAACUACCAUCUUUUGGAUGUGUGAGAGUAUGGAGAAAUACUAUAUACUAAUAAACACAGAAGCCCACAGGUCUUUCACGACAACCUCCUUCAGUCUACACUGUAGCUCAAAGGAAAUGAAGAGGGGAGAUCCAGCGCUGGGUAUGACAACGUUCUGACAGAGGACGCUCGGUCCGUUCCACAGAGACUCAUUAUUUAUGUCUUAGCCAUGUGAAACUAAUUGUAUUCAUCUCCACCUCACAGAAGCCCACAGAGCUGACAUAUCAUUUGAAUUAACAUGGAGACAUUUACAUAUACCUGCCAAAUGCACUGAAGAAAGAUGGACCACUGGUGCGCGCUCAUGCACGAGCGCUUUGAUGGAAAUUUGAAGAAAUUGACCGCUGUUUUCACAGUUAUUGUCCUUUCGUGUACAGCUUAUUGGUUUCGUAGUUUCAAUAUUAAAGCGUACCAUUCACAACUUUCAGUGAUGAAGGGUGAAACGAAUGUGCUAACAAGCAUUCACGUGUGCGGAAAUGUAAUAGACGACCUUAGUGAACAAAGGAAACAAAGCCUCACUAACACUGAAACAACAACUGCCCAAAACCACAUUUCCCAUCCUUUUAUAUUUGGGCUGCUCUCUUGGCCUAUGCAACGUUGUAAUCUAUCAACAUUGUAAUGCAGUGACACAUUCCGCAGUGAAAGCCAUCGCCCCGGUUUUCUCAAACUAAAUUAAACCAGGAAAAUAAUUCAGGAAUCAGGAAACAUUUAUUGCCAAAAUAUGUCAAGCAUACAAGGAAUUUGUCUUUGCGGUUGGUGCGUGACAGUAGACAGUGUAACAAUAGACAACAAGACAGCAGUGCACAAGUAAUAAAAUGAAAUGCUAAUGCAAUGGGUUAGUAGAAUAAGGCUAUGGGUUAGUAUAAAAUAAGAAUAAAGUUGAAGUUAAAAAUUAAAAAUAUUUAAAAAGAUUAAAAAAAAUAAUGCAACAUUGAACAAGUGACAUGUGCAGUAUGAAGGGGAGUGACCAGUGGAAUGUCAGUCAGUGGGGGACCGGGCCCUGUUGAAGAGCCCGACUGCCGACGGGAAGAAACUGUUGGUGUGGCGGGAGGUCUUAGUCCUGAUGGGCCUCAGCCUCCUGCCAGAUGGAAGGGGCACAAACAGGUUUUGUCCGGGGUGAGAGGGGUUGGCUUUUUUUUAGGACGCUUCAGAGACCUGGAAGCGAACAAGUCCUGCAGGGAUGGCAGAUUGCAGCCGAUCAUCCUCUCUGCAGAGCGGAUGAUACGCUGCAGCCUGCCCUUGUCCUUGGCUGUGGCUGCAGCGUACCAGACGGUGAUGGAGGAGCAGAGGAUGGACUCCAUGAUGGCCGUGUAGAAGUGGAACAUCAUCGUCUUUGGUUGAAUUUCUUCAGCUGCCUCAGGAAGAACAACCUCUGCUGAGCCUUCUUGGUGAUGGAGCUGAUGUUCAGCUCCCACUUGAGGUCCUGGGUGAUGAUGGAGCCCAGGAAACAGAAGAAAUCUGUUCCUCCGGAAAUCCACAACCAUCUCCACUGUCUUUAGAGCGUUGAGCUCCAGGAUGUUCUGGCUGCACCAGGACACCAGAUGGCCAGACUUCACCUGUAGGCGGACUCGUCCCCACCAGAGAUCAGUCCAAUGAGGGUGGUGUUAUCCGCAAACUUCAGGAGCCUGACGGACUGGUGGCUGGAGGUGCAGCUGUUGGUGUACAGGGAGAAGAGCAGAGGGGAAAGAACGCAGCCUUGGGGGGAACCGGUGCUGAUGGUCCGGGGGCCUGAGACAUGUUUCCCUAGCUUCACGUGCUGCUUCCUGUCAGACAGGAAGUCUGUGAUCCACUUGCAGGUGGAGUCGGGCACGUGCAGUUGGGAGAGUUUGUCCUGCAGCAGAGACGGGAUGAUGGUGUUGAAGGCAGAGCUGACGUCCACAAACAGGAUCCUGGCGUAGGUUCCUGGGGAGUCCAGAUGCUGGAGGAUGUAGUGGAGGGCCAUGUUGACCGCAUCGUCCACAGACCUGUUGGCUCUGUAGGCGAACUACAGGGGGCAGGAGGGGUCGGUGAGGGACUUAAGGUGGGUCAGGACUAGCCGUUCAAAAGACUUCAUGACUACAGAGGUCAGGGCGACGGGCCUGUAGUCAUUGAGUCCUGUGAUCCUGGGCUUCUUGGGAACAGGGAUGAUGAUGGAGGCCUUGAAGCAGGCUGGUACGUGGCAGGUCUCCAGGGAGGUGUUGAAGAUGUCAGUGAACACCGGAGACAACUGGUCAGCACAAUUCUACAGGAUGUGAGGGGAAACUGAGUCCCCUCACAUUCAGUGCCAAUGUUGGCAAAAAAACUGAUAGACUUGGCAGGUAUGUGUGCACAGUUGUGCCAUAUCUCCUCCAAACUACUGGCCCAGAGCUUCAUCUGAGCAAAGGACGUGACCGGCCAGGAUCACUGAAAAGGGCACAUCAGUCUGAUGCUUGUGGAUAGCUUCAAUUCUAAAGUUAGGAAUGUUAUUGGUGUCAUUGCAGUCACUCUUCUUUGACAUCAUAACCUAAAACAGUAACAGCACACUAGCAUUAUUUGCUAACUUGACAGGUUUACAGACCCUCCAAUGUCAGUGGCUGCUGAGCUCCAAUACACUUGGCCAUGUAAUCAAUUAGCCUCCUUUUUUACUGACAAAAUUCUGAAAAUGCGCUCUCCCAUCUCUAAAUAAUAUCCAUUCAAAAAUCAUAACAUUUCAUUUAAUCAACCAUGAAAGUCUGAAAAACAUUAUACAACAUCUGAACUCUGCUUCCUGCUGCUUAGAUUUUCUUCUAACACAUUUUCUAAAUUAUUUAAAACGGCAUGACCAGUGGUGAUAUUUUACAAAUUGUAAACACAUCCCUUCUCUCAGGCAUCUGCCCACAACCACUAAAAACUGCAGUUAGUAAUCCUCUCCCCAAAAAGGCUAAUUUAGUCUACUCCACAAUGAAAAUAUCCUACUUCCCCUUUUUAUGUAUAUCAAGUAAAUGUUAGAAAAAUAUGAUAACUGGAUCUGCGUCUCAGCCUCCGAAUGAUAUAGUUGUGAUGACAGAUACACAAGUUCUGCUUCAAGGUCAAGGACCUACAUCAUAGUCUCUGAAAUUAUGGCAUAAACACCAGACAUUCAGCAAGGCUUCCAACGUGUGCGUCUGUCAGGUUGAGAUCACACGCACACAAGUUACACAUCAAGUUCUCAGCUGGGGAGUUCUCAGCUGGGAAAAACUGUGGUGUUCAGUAAUACAGUACAGUAAUAUUGCUUAAACUACAGUGACUAAGACAAAAAAAAACGUUUUUGAUGUCCAGUCAGGCUUUACACAGUACGGGAAACUGCCUGUGUUGAGGUUUUCAACGACAUCCACACAGUCAGUUUCAGAACAAGAGUUGAAUUCUGCGUUCGCACCAAAAGCGAAGCCAAUUAUUCGCUUGAGUAGAUUCCAUGCAAGAUUCCAUUCAGUUAAUGCACAGACGCGACUGGUUGCGGAGGAAGCAAAUUUUCAACUGGCGACCUGGAGGUUGCGAAAAGCGAAAGGACUGAAGCGAAUAAAUCGUCGCAAAAUAUUUUUUGCAAAAUAUUUCAACUUUCAUGGGGACAACAAUCCCAUACAAGGGUUUGGUAAAUGCAUUGAACAAAUCAAAAACUGCGUCUGCCAGAGUUUUCUUUUUGGAGCCAAGCACUUUCAGCACUCCGCUUCAAUCACUGUUUUAAAAAAAAAACAGAAAUCUAGGAGUAGUUCUAUGAGUAGUUAUGGAUUCAGGCCUCAGGCCACAGCCAUAUCAAGACAAUUACAAAAUCAGUUUACAGUCACUUGAAUAUAUCAGGAAUUAUACAAUUUAAGUACUGGUCCCUGCAUUCAUUGCCAGUAGAUUGACCACGCCGCUACAAUAGUCCAGUCAAAACGCUGCAGCUCAAAUCCUCACUGAGACCAAGAAAAUGGAUCACAUGAUUCCAGUUCUGAGGUCUUUACAUUGGCUUCCUGUUAAACAAAUAUUUUACGAAGCCCUCACUGGUUUAGGGCCAAAAAACAUGUCUGACUGCUGCUAACUUAUGAACCACCCCGACCCAAACAUGGAGAAGCAGCGUUCAAUUUUGGUGCUUAAAAUAUCUGAAAUGUGCAAUACAAAUAAACUUGCAUUCCCUCUCAACUACAACCCCUCACGCCCUCGUCAUCCCAUGUGUAUCUUUGCCUGGUCUCAAUUGAGAAGCUCGCUGCUUCUCAAUCUACUGACUGGUGCUGCGUGGGGUUGCUGGCGGACGAUCAAAAGCAUCACGUAAAGGACACGGCACCUGCUAUCACAACAGUGGCUAUAUUUGAUAUGAUUAAUUGCUAAAAUCAUCACCUAGAGAAAUCCGUCACUAGACCACAUUGGAGCACGCAACCGAGGCAUUCUUUUUGACUCUGCACUGUCCUUUGAUGCUCAGGUUACCAAAGUUGUGCUUCGCCAAACUGAGCAACGUGAUCUUCAAAACCUGUUCGUAAAAAUGUAUACGAAAAUCUUGAACAUACAAAUUCGUACAUACUGGCAGUGGUUAACCACGCCCCUUGAGUGAAAAACAUGGCGGACCAUGUUGGAUUCUUGAGUGAACGUCUCUCCACCAUGUUUUUGAGGGGGUUAGGUUAGUAUUGUAUUCUUACAAUUUAACAUUGAUUUCUCGUUAAAAAUGCAAUCAUAACAUGUUUAUUUUACAUUGUUAGACUUCACGAAGUAUGUUUACAGGGUGCAGGUCCCCAUUUACUUUGAAUAGGGUGACGUCAUCAGUUGCAGUCCGUAUUUAUUUAGUAUGUAUCACUACGAAUUAGUAUGUUCAAGAUUUUCGUAUACAUUUUUACGAACAGGUUUUGGAGAUCAGGCUGAACUGAGACAUUUUAGGAAAAUCAGGUCAUUAAUCAGGUCAUUCCUCUCACCUGCAGACCUAGAAAGAGUCACCCACGUGCUUAUCUUCUCCAGACUGGACUAUUGCAAUGCACUCUAUUCUGGCGUUAACCGGCGAAACAUUCAGAGACUACAAAUGUUACAGAAUGCUGCUGCCAGGCUUUUAACCCUUACAAAGAGAAGCGACCACAUCACACCUUGCUGCUCUGCACUGGCUACCUGUGAGCUUUAGAAUUGAUUUCAAGAUUUUACUUCUUGUUUUUAAUGCUCUAAACAAUCUUGCUCCUGCUUACAUCAGUGAACUCCUGAGCCCGUAUGAGCCUGAGCUCUUCAGGCAGUGCCUUAUUAACUGUCCCAAGCUCUCGAUUGGUCACUAAAGGUGACUGGGUCUUUGCGAUCAGGGCCCCUAAACAGUGGAACUCCAUUUCUUGCAAACUGAGACAGGCAUAUUCAGUGUCCUUCUUUAAAUCCCUUCUAAAGACUCACGUUUACCAGCUGGCUUAUUUAUGUAUUUUAUGGAUUGUAUUGUAUUUAUUACAAACUGCUUGAUAUUGGAAAACUUGUGUGCGUAUUGUUAAGCACUUUGUAACUUUGUUUUGAAAGGUGAUAUAUAAAUAAAAGUUAUUAUUAUUAUCAUCUACAACCACUAGAUGAUAAGUUACAACCACUGCGCUCUGCUGGACUGAAAAAAUUAGAAAAAAAAAACGCAAAAAAGUGUUAUUUUUUCUUUAAAAAAUGGCACGUCAACAUUUUAGGCACUGUCGUUUGAGAAGUAGUUCACUUGACACAGAGCUGUAAUCUAGGGCUUUACCUGCCACUCUGGCACGAGGGGAUGGAUACACACUGUGCUGGAUAGAGAGCGAUGGAAGCAGAGCAGUAACAGCAUCCUUUGAAGAUUAGAGUGACUGGUGAGCGUAGUGAAUUGCUCUACCCAUGUUUCUCGUGGCAGAGACAGUUAUGGAACAUUUGUCGCCAAUUUCUGACAAAUGUCAAACCUUUUGGUGGAGGAAAAAAAAAAAUCUCUGCCAAGCCCUCCAUUAUAAAAAAGUUUUUUUUUUUUGUUUCCAGUUCAAAAUGUAAUACUAACUAUUUAACUGUUUACUAUGAUAUUUAGGAUGCCACACCCUUCACCGACGUUGAAAUUACAAACCCUGUGCUUUGAUUUGAUAACUUGAUUGAUAAUAUUAUUGUUAAUAAUAAAUAUUAAUAAUAAUAUCAUGGAAAACUGAAUAGCGCAUUGACAAGUCUCCUCUGUGCACACCAACAUAUUGUGACAAGUCACCAGCGCUCUUCUAGUGGCGGGCCGUGCAUCUUCUACCUGGGCCCUGUAUGCCAUUUUACUACAAUUGAAUAAUCUCAGUAAGAAGUGAGUUAUUAUUUGUUCUGAGUAAACACCUCAUAUUCACAUAACACUACAAUUUAAAGUAAAAUAAAAUGUCAAAUGAAGCUGCAAACUCAUGACUACUUCAUGAAAAGAUGCUGCGUAAUUAUUGCAAUGCAUUUGAUUAAAGUCAAUGUAAUAACUUCAAUAACAAGAGCAAGGUCAAGAACCAGUCACAUUAUUUACUAUAAAGCCUGACAAAACACAACUGCAGCACUAAAACACUCAAGAGGACAGGCCAUUCAAAUGUUAUUUAUAUCAUAGGGAACAGUAUUAACUAUAAAAUUACAAAAACACAAAUUAACACGCUACUGCCGAUGUAAAAACCCAAAAGCUGUUUCGCUUACCAAAUGCUGUUAACUAUUCACAGGGAAAGUUCAUCCAUACCACUAAUUACUCAUUACUCAGAUCUGCUAGCUAGUUUUCUAUUUGACAGAAGUCAUGCUGACUGAUCAUGGCCUAUGUUACUGCUGCGUUAAAGCAGACGUUGUUACAGAGGUACUAGUGGCAUGUCAAACAAUAUGCCCAACAUGUCUAACUGAAGAUCUGAUUGAUUGAACGCUCUGACAUUCAACAACAUCAUUGCCACACUUUAACGUACAAAUUCAGUCUAGAGGACCUCGUGCCUCUCUCAAAUAGAGACAUUGGGACUGAAUCUGGUUGGAUAAACACUUGAUACAAGACUGACAAUGAAGAAAGUGUUUCCCUUACCAUUAUAUAUUAUAUCAAAGGGGCCACGUCGGCCGGUCCGUUUGCCCGACUGCUAACCCUCCAUCCCUGCCAGCCGUUCCGCCCCUAGGAGAAACGCUGACGGAACCCUAAUAGCUUUAAACUGCCAUCCACCGUAAGUGCUCUGGACCAGGUGUCAAGGUAUUACAUGUGUUGCUCAAUAGCGCAGGGAUUAGGGAUGAGCAGGAAACCAAAUGGCGGGUGUGGUUUGCUGAGGUACUGUCAGCCAAUCCCUGAGCUCAUGACCUAUGGCGGCUCAAGCUGCGUGUUAGGGUGGUCUCUCUCUCUGUAGCUCGGCAUCCUGACUGGAACUACCAGGUGAAACCCCUUACCAAGCGGCCCUGGAAGCAAUCAGCUGAUUGGCGAAAAAGGGGAAUAAAAGGCUGUGGAAGCCAGGAAGUGCAGGAUGAGCUGGGAGUUGAAGGCGUGCAACUUGCAGAGUGUGGUUUAGUGUCUGUGUUGCCGAUUGUGCUGGUAAUGGUUUGUGGUGGCAUUUUUUUUGUUUCUACUGUUGGACAGUAUGAUUUUGAGUUGGAACCUGCUAUGGAUGUGUUUGGAUUUAUUAUGAAAUAAAUCCCUCUUUUGUUAAAAAUUCCUUCUUUUAUAGUUUAUUUUCAUUUGUUACUCCCCAAGACAUCAGUCGAGGGACGUAACACUGCGUCUCAGCCCAUCCUGGGGCUGAAGGGUAUUGACGUAUGGACAAGAUUGACAAAUAUAACACUGGACUUAUCGGGAGUCCCUGCGUCAGUCGGGCAGCUGAACUGGGUAACGCCAGACUGUCUGGUUCAAUCACAUUGAGCAAAAUAAUGUCAUGUCAAUGUAGCCAGUGAGGAAAUGUCCCUCACGUGAUACCAUAGGUUUAAGCCCCUCCCACUUCCUGGUUCACCAAUUAGUCUGGGUAUAAAGGCUCCAUUUUUACGACACUACAGGAGCAUGCUGUCUUCCCGUGUCGGAGUCUGGUUUUGACAACCCGUUUUGAGCUGGCAUGUAGUUUUUAUUUGUUUUCAUGUUUUAGAAAGAAUAAUUUUCCCUUAGUGACGCUCUGGUUUUUGCCCCAGACCCAGUGCCUCAAGGAGGCCCAAACCAGAGAGUAAGAGUGGAUGUGGCACUGGAGGGAGUGAGGGCCUUGUCCUAGAGCUUGUCCUCCCUCUUUUCCCCUUCUUAGCCCGCUGCAGCCUACGGCCCCAAUAGAAUCAAACUUGUUUAUUGAAACCUUUUCUUUUUAUUCUUUCAUUCCCAGAGUUGGCAGGAAUAAUUACAUUAAUUUUUUCCUACCUUUUUGAUAUUUUAAGAAACUCAAAUAUUGUACUCUGGGGGAAUAUUGUUGGUCUGUUUACACUGGUCAUAUUCCUACGGGACGAUAUCCGCACCUCCGUACCUACCGGUGGUUACAUCAAGGAGGAGGGUUUAGACUAAACAAGACUGUCGUGUCAGCUGAGAUAAGAUGACCGCUCAGGAUAUAAAAUCUGUGUGACGUGUAUGUGCGGUGUCCAGAAGGCCACUCAGUGUAUCAUCAUGAUCAGAUGUAUGUCUCAGGAUAAAGAACAUGACGGUCCUUGUACAAUGAGAUCAUUGUGCGUGCGCAAGACCUUCCUGUUUAUCAUACCUUAUCCCAGUAUAUAUGUGGGGACUGGACCCUUAGAGCAGGCUUAGAGCAUGACUUGUAUGUGUGUCAAAUCUGUCACCUAUUUGCAAACAUUAAAUGUCCUGUUUUUGAUGAUUUUACACCUGUCUAGUAUUGAUUUUUCAAAUAUUAAUAUGUUUGUUUUUGUGACUGCACUGGGUUUUGUUUUACAUGAUGUUAUCAUAUUGAUUUGAUUUUAAUUGAACCACCUAUUUGGAUUUAUUUUGAUGACAGACCUCCAGAGAGGGGGGGGGUCUUCCUCACUGGGCAGACCAGACACAAAUUCCUUUUAAGACUGUCAAACACUGAGAGACAAUCACGUUCCACAAGUGUACUCUGGAAAGAAAAUGUUUUCCGAGACGUUUCUGUGUGGAUUUUACGCAGUGAUGAAAAUGGCAAACAGAUGAUUCAUCAAAACGGACAUUCCUGAUUCCUUCUGUUGUAGUCAAGCCUGGUUAGCUAGCUCAGGACAUGCUAUUAUCAGGAUAGGCUUUAUUGGCCAUGAUGCAUAUGUGAGGAUUGGUGGAGGGGCAUGUAUGAUUAAUAGUAUGAAACUAAAUCAUUGACAUCCAUAGAAGAAUUCACAAAAUGAAUAAAUAACAGGGCACUACCCUAAAAAAAGGGCCUAAUCAAGUCUGAUAAUUGCGGUGGCCCUAAAGUGCAAAACACAACGAGAUUAACUUCUUACGGAAAGGGUAGGGCCUUAUAGCAGAUAGCCGAGGACGGACCCUUCUGAUUGGACUGACGGACUGUCUGUCUUUUAACCCUCUUAAUCCGAAGCCUUUUGCCGGCGACGGAAAGUGACAGCAAUUUGAAUCCUCCAUAACUAUUUGCACAAUCAAAUUCUGAAAGCUGAGAAAAAACGCUUUUAUAGAUAUUCUGUCAAUCAAUAAAUCAGUGGUGGGAGAGCCUGUGAUGAGGGAUGGAAGUGAGCGCAGCAAGAGAACCGCAGCAGAAAGUCACGGAGAGAUGGCGCCGUCUUAAAAGUGACCGGCGUCCGAUUCCUUGGCGUGAGGAAUUGGAUGUGUGGCGGGAGUGCGUGACUGUCUCACUCAAUGCGUGACACUUGAGAGCCCUGUAUCAUUUCCUGUUUAAAAACAGACAGUCCAUCUGUCCAAUCAGAAGGGUCCGUCCUCUGCUAUAAGGCCCUACCCUUUCCGUAAGGAUUUAAUUUCUUUGUGCUUUCCCAUUUGCGUUGUGCCUUCCUAUUUGUCGUGUUUUGUACUUCAGGGCCACCGUACAUAAUUCAUGUUCGCUCAUAAAGAGGACGGAAUUGAUGGUUUAAGUUUAACAUUGGAUUACACUUUCAGCCACCAUCACAGCACAUACGCACAAAAUAAAGACAUGCAGGAAACCUCUCCUGUGCAGAGUUUAUGAACUUCCAACAAUGCUAAUCAGAUCAAUACUAUUUCAAAUCAACAAACUAUUAUACAAUUUCCUUAUACCUAAACAACAAAUAAAAACAUUCAUUUAUUCAUGCAUGUGAAGGGAGAGGACUGUGUGUGUGGUGAACGUAUCGGCUUUACUCAAACCAAACCAGAUCUUAGCUGCCACAAUGAGACAACUAGCAUCACACAGUAACUUGGAAACUAAAGAUCAGCCGCUCUGGAUAGAUACAAGUUUCAAAUACUGGUCUUGUUUGUGGGGAUCAAUUUUGUAAACCAACAGAAUAUAACAACAGCAAAUACUGUGGUUAUUACUCAAGGGCAUUAACACAUGCACAGAAUCACAUACACAGACGAUGUAGCAAAGCUUGGCAGUUCAUAACUAUGCAAUCAAUAACGCAAAAAACAACGACACAUGGUAAUCUAACUUCUGCCCAGACAGAGCCUUACUAAAGCAAGCCCUCUCUAUUCUGGAGAGAGACGUUAACCGGCUCUUUAAAAGACAAAACGCCCGUAAGGCAGCCAGUCCAGACUGUCUCUACCCGCACCCUGAAGAAUUGUGCUCACCAGCCGUCUCCGGUGUUCACUGGCAUCUUCAACACCUCCUUGGGGACAUGCCACGUACCAGCCUGCUUCAAGGCCUCCACCAUCAUCCCUGUCCGCAAGAAGCCCAGGAUCACAGGACUCAAUGACUACAGGCCCGUGACCUCUGUAGUCAUGAAGUCUUUUGAACGGCUUGUCAUGUCCCACCUGAAGACCCUCACGGACCCCUUCCUGGACCCCCUGCAGUUCGGCUAUAGAACCAACAGGUCUGUAUAUGAUGCUGUCAACAUGGCCCUCCACUACAUCCUCCAGCAUCUGGACUUCCCAGGAACCUACGCCAGGAUCCUGUUUGUGGACUUCAGCUCUGCCUUCAACACCAUCAUCCCGUCUCUGCUGCAGGACAAACUCUCCCAGCUGCACGUGCCCGACUCCACCUGCAAGUGGAUCAGACUUCCUGUCUGAUAGGAAGCAGCAUGUGAAGCUGGGGAAACAUGUCUCAGCCUCCCGGACCAUCAGCACCGGUUCCCCCCAAGGCUGUGUUCUUUCCCCUCCGCUCUUCUCCCUGUACACCAACAGCUGCACUUCCUGUCACCAGUCUCCUGAAGUUUGCGGAUGACCCCACCCUCAAUGGACUGAUUCUACAGGUGGGAGUCUGACCAUCUGGUGUCGUGGUGCAGCCAGAACAUCCUGGAGCUCAACGCUCUAAAGACAGUGGAGAUGGUUGUGGAUUUCAGGAAGAACUGAGUCCCACCUUCCCCCAUCACCCUGUGUGACUCCCCCAUCACUAUUGUGGAUUCCUUCCGUUUCCUGUGCUCCAUCAUCACCCAGGACCUCAAAUAAAUGGUAAAUGGACUGUACUUGUGUAGCGCUUUUCUAGUCUUCCGACCACUCAAAGCACUUUAACACUACAUGACAUGACCUCAUUCACCCAUUCAUACACUGAUGACAGGAGAACUAUAGACAGUGACACCUGACCAUCAGUAACUAACAUUCACACAAUGUAGUCGCAGCUACAGGAGCAAUGUUGGGUUAAGUGUCUUGCCCAAGGACACAUCGACAUGCGGGUUAGCAGAGCCUGGGAUCAAAUGGGAGCUGAAGAUCAGCUCCAUCACCAAAAAGGUUCAGCAGAGGUUCCUUCCUGAGGCAGCUGAAGAAAGUCAACCUGUCAGCACUUCUACACAGCCAUCAUGGAGUCCAACCUCUGUUCCUCCAUCACCGUCUGGUACGCUGCAGCCACAGCCAAGGACAAGGGCAGGCUGCAGCGUGUCUGUUGCAAUCUGCCGUCCCUCCAGGACUUGUUCGCUUCUAGGACCCUGAAGCGUCCUAAAAAAAAGCCAACCCCUCUCAAACGGUUUGUGCCCCAUCCAUCUUGCAGGAGGCUGAGGUCCAUCAGGACUAAGACCUCCCGCCACAAAAAGUUUCUUCCCGUCGGCAGUCGGCUCACCAACAGAGCCCAGUCCCCCACUGACUGACUCCACCGGUCAUUUUCUUUCACACUGCACACGUCACUUUCUGUUCGCUGGUGCACUUUAUUUUUAAACAUUUUUAACUAACGUUUAUUCCUUUAUUUUUAAACUUACCCAUAGCCUUAUAUCACUAACCCAUAUCAUUAUAUUUUGUUUUCCUCGUACACUGCUGUCUUGUAGUCCAUUAUCGUACGGUCUGCUGUUACCCACCAACCGCAAAGUCAAAUUCCUUGUAUGUGUCAUUAUGGCAAUAAAUGUUCCCCGAUUCCUGAUUUGUGGGAUUUCCGGUCUGGUUUUCUUCAUACCUCUUAGCCACUUGUAUGUCUGGAUCACUGGCUUGUGCAUCUUCCCAUUCGUUGCUAUCCCACUCACUGUCCUCACUUCUUGGGUUUAGCUCAAUGGCUGCCUUGGUCACACCUGUUCCUGUCUCACACUCCUGGUCUGCAACCCUGGCAGGGAUGGGGUCAACUGGAAACCUGGACAGAGCAUCUGCGUUAGCAUUGCUUUUACCUGGGCGGUACUUGACGCCGUAGUUGAAAGAAGCCAGCUGAGCGACCCAGCAUUGUUCCACAGCACCCAGGCGAGCCGUCUGCAGGUGAGCAACAGGGUUAUUGUCGGUGUAUACUGUGAACUGUGUUCCAGUCAGGUAGUCUCUG
Molecule: long non-coding RNA, 27049 nt
Organism: Gasterosteus aculeatus aculeatus (three-spined stickleback)
Lineage: Eukaryota; Metazoa; Chordata; Actinopteri; Perciformes; Gasterosteidae
Source: Ensembl